This 478-nucleotide ribosomal RNA is filed under the name uncultured bacterium. Its description in RNAcentral is "partial 16S ribosomal RNA". It matches the Rfam family "Bacterial small subunit ribosomal RNA", at positions 29 to 507 of the family's 1533-position model. The record is from RNAcentral.
CAUGAACGCUGGCGGCGUGCUUAACACAUGCAAGUCGAACGAGAAGUGAAGACGGAAACCUUCGGGCGGAAGGCUUUAUUUCGAGUGGCGGACGGGUGAGUAACGCGUGGGUAACCUGCCUCAUACAGGGGGAUAACAGUUGGAAACGACUGUUAAUACCGCAUAAGACCACAGCACCGCAUGGUGCGGGGGUAAAAACUCCGGUGGUAUGAGAUGGACCCGCGUUCGAUUAGCCAGUUGGCGGGGUAACGGCCCACCAAAGCGACGAUCGAUAGCCGAUCUGAGAGGAUGACCGGCCACAUUGGGACUGAGACACGGCCCAAACUCCUACGGGAGGCAGCAGUGGGGAAUAUUGCACAAUGGGGGAAACCCUGAUGCAGCGACGCCGCGUGAGUGAAGAAGUAUUUCGGUAUGUAAAGCUCUAUCAGCAGGGAAGAAAAUGACGGUACCUGAGUAAGAAGCCCCGGCUAACUACGUG